UGGGGAAUUUUGGACAAUGGGCGCAAGCCUGAUCCAGCAAUGCCGCGUGAGUGAAGAAGGCCUUCGGGUUGUAAAGCUCUUUUGUCAGGGAAGAAACGGGCCGGGCUAAUACCUUGGUCUAAUGACGGUACCUGAAGAAUAAGAACCGGCUAACUACGUUCCAGCAGCCGCGGUAAUACGUAGGGUGCAAGCGUUAAUCGGGAUUACUGGGCGUAAAGCGUGCGCAGGCGGUUAUGUAAGACAGGUGUGAAAUCCCCGGGCUUAACCUGGGAACUGCAUUUGUGACUGCAUAGCUAGAGUACGGUAGAGGGGGAUGGAAUUCCGCGUGUAGCAGUGAAAUGCGUAGAUAUGCGGAGGAACACCGAUGGCGAAGGCAAUCCCCUGGACCUGUACUGACGCUCAUGCACGAAAGCGUGGGGAGCAAAC
This 426-nucleotide ribosomal RNA is filed under the name uncultured bacterium. RNAcentral's name for it is "bacterial SSU rRNA". It matches the Rfam family "Bacterial small subunit ribosomal RNA", at positions 355 to 773 of the family's 1533-position model. The record is from RNAcentral.